This 253-nucleotide ribosomal RNA is filed under the name uncultured bacterium. RNAcentral's name for it is "partial 16S ribosomal RNA". It matches the Rfam family "Bacterial small subunit ribosomal RNA", at positions 524 to 776 of the family's 1533-position model. The record is from RNAcentral.
GACGAACCGUCCGAACGUUAUUCGGAAUCACUGGGCUUACAGAGUUCGUAGGCGGUCCGGAAAGUUAGAUGUGAAAUCCCUUGGCUUAACCAAGGAACUGCGUUUGAAACUACCGGACUCGAGGGAGAUAGAGGAAAGCGGAACUGAUGGUGGAGCGGUGAAAUGCGUUGAUAUCAUCAGGAACACCGGUGGCGAAGGCGGCUUUCUGGGUCUCUUCUGACGCUGAGGAACGAAAGCUAGGGGAGCGAACGGG